RNAcentral lists this ribosomal RNA (496 nucleotides) under uncultured bacterium. RNAcentral's name for it is "partial 16S ribosomal RNA". It matches the Rfam family "Bacterial small subunit ribosomal RNA", at positions 28 to 506 of the family's 1533-position model. The record is from RNAcentral.
GAUGAACGCUGGCGGCGUGCCUAAUACAUGCAAGUCGAGCGAACAGAUAAGGAGCUUGCUCCUUUGACGUUAGCGGCGGACGGGUGAGUAACACGUGGGUAACCUACCUAUAAGACUGGAAUAACUCCGGGAAACCGGGGCUAAUGCCGGAUAACAUUUAGAACCGCAUGGUUCUAAAGUGAAAGAUGGUUUUGCUAUCACUUAUAGAUGGACCCGCGCCGUAUUAGCUAGUUGGUAAGGUAACGGCUUACCAAGGCAACGAUACGUAGCCGACCUGAGAGGGUGAUCGGCCACACUGGAACUGAGACACGGUCCAGACUCCUACGGGAGGCAGCAGUAGGGAAUCUUCCGCAAUGGGCGAAAGCCUGACGGAGCAACGCCGCGUGAGUGAUGAAGGUCUUCGGAUCGUAAAACUCUGUUAUUAGGGAAGAACAAAUGUGUAAGUAACUGUGCACGUCUUGACGGUACCUAAUCAGAAAGCCACGGCUAGCUACGU